This 703-nucleotide long non-coding RNA is filed under the name Phasianus colchicus (ring-necked pheasant). Its description in RNAcentral is "lncRNA (ENSPCLG00000006387.1)". The record is from RNAcentral. Lineage: Eukaryota; Metazoa; Chordata; Aves; Galliformes; Phasianidae.
GGUUAUGUGGGUUAGCUUGGAGGAUUUCCUUGGCUUCAGAGAAGGCCUGGAGCUCAGCUAGCACAAUUAUUUUUUGCAGGUGGCACAUUUUCCAAGAUAUCACACAAGUGGGUGACUGCACACAUCUGCCAGCAGUUCUGGGAUGGUUGGCAACUUUCCCUUUCAGAUGAUGUUGUUUGGCAUCAUAGCCCCAGCCUCACGCAGGAGGAAGGCCGUGGCAGCAGAGUGUCAGUGCAUGGUGUAGGUGCCCAGCAGUGUGUGCCACUGGCUUCAGGCCCAUUGCAUGAAGUCAGCCAAUUCUCUACCAUCCUCACUGGGAACUUGUAAAGCGACUGCAAUGUUUUCCAUACUUUGUAGUACCCAGCUUCAGAGUUUGUCAGGACCAAAGCAGCUGUGCGAAUGUGUCGUCGUCCCUGAUUAGGCACUUCUGAUGUCGGAAGCGCGUUCAGACUCCUAAGCUGAAGAAAGUCAGGUAAAGUGAAGCGAUGGAAGUUUGUUAAUGUAUUUAAAUGAAAUGCGGGAUAAAUUUCCCAGCUGGAAAGAAGAAUCAAACAACUUCUUUUUGAUAGCAUUAUGAAAAAUACUUUAUGUUCCUUUUUCCAGCAGCUACCUUUUAAUUGUAAACAAUUCAACACAUCAAAAACGAUUUAGGAUUGUUCUUGAAUCUAAUAAAAUGAGUGAAAAUGUUGCGUUUUUACUGCUG